RNAcentral lists this ribosomal RNA (1345 nucleotides) under uncultured bacterium. RNAcentral's name for it is "bacterial SSU rRNA". It matches the Rfam family "Bacterial small subunit ribosomal RNA", at positions 28 to 1381 of the family's 1533-position model. The record is from RNAcentral.
GACGAACGCUGGCGGCGUGCUUAACACAUGCAAGUCGAACGAUGAAGCGGUGCUUGCACCGUGGAUUAGUGGCGAACGGGUGAGUAAUACGUGAGUGACCUACCUUUGACUCUGGGAUAAGCCUGGGAAACUGGGUCUAAUACCGGAUAUGACCAAUCUCUGCAUGGGGUGUUGGUGGAAAGCGUUAUGGAGUGGUUUUAGAUGGGCUCACGGACUAUCAGCUUGUUGGUGAGGUAAUGGCUUACCAAGGCGACGACGGGUAGCCGGCCUGAGAGGGUGACCGGCCACACUGGGACUGAGACACGGCCCAGACUCCUACGGGAGGCAGCAGUGGGGAAUAUUGCACAAUGGGCGCAAGCCUGAUGCAUCGACGCCGCGUGAGGGAUGACAGCCUUCGGGUUGUAAACCUCUGUUAGCAUCGAAUAAGCGAAAGUGACGGUAGGUGCAGAGAAAGCGCCGGCUAACUACGUGCCAGCAGGCGCGGUAAUACGUAGGGCGCGAGCGUUGUCCGGAAUUAUCGGGCCUAAAGAGCUUGUAGGCGGUUGGUCGCGUCUGCUGUGAAGGCCGGGGCUUAACUCCGGUUUUGCAGUGGGUACGGGCUAACUAGAGUGCAGUAGGGGAGACUGGAAUUCCUGGUGUAGCGGUGGAAUGCACAGAUAUCAGGAGGAACACCGAUGGCGAAGGCAGGUCUCUGGGCUGUAACUGACGCUGAGAAGCGAAAGCAUGGGGAGCGAACAGGAUUAGAUACCCUGGUAGUCCAUGCCGUAAACGUUGGGCACUAGGUGUGGGGGACAUUCCACGUUUUCCGCGCCGUAGCUAACGCAUUAAGUGCCCCGCCUGGGGAGUACGGCCGCAAGGCUAAAACUCAAAGGAAUUGACGGGGGCCCGCACAAGCGGCGGAGCAUGCGGAUUAAUUCGAUGCAACGCGAAGAACCUUACCAAGGCUUGACAUGCAUUAGAUCGCGUCAGAGAUGGCGUUUCCCUUCGGGGCUGGUGUACAGGUGGUGCAUGGUUGUCGUCAGCUCGUGUCGUGAGAUGUUGGGUUAAGUCCCGCAACGAGCGCAACCCUCGUUCUAUGUUGCCAGCGGUUCGGCCGGGGACUCAUAGGAGACUGCCGGGGUCAACUCGGAGGAAGGUGGGGAUGACGUCAAAUCAUCAUGCCCCUUAUGUCUUGGGCUUCACGCAUGCUACAAUGGCCGGUACAGAGGGUUGCGAUACUGUGAGGUGGAGCUAAUCCCUUAAAGCCGGUCUCAGUUCGGAUUGGGGUCUGCAACUCGACCCCAUGAAGUCGGAGUCGCUAGUAAUCGCAGAUCAGCAACGCUGCGGUGAAUACGUUCCCGGGCCU